UACGUAGGGUGCAAGCGUUAUCCGGAAUUAUUGGGCGUAAAGAGCUCGUAGGCGGUUUGUCGCGUCUGCUGUGAGAACUGGAGGCUCAACCUCCAGCCUGCAGUGGGUACGGGCAAACUAGAGUGCGGUAGGGGAGAUUGGAAUUCUUGGUGUAGCAGUGAAAUGCGUAGAUAUCAAGAGGAACACCAGUGGCGAAGGCGAGUCCCUGGACAACACCUGACACUGAGGCACGAAAGCUAGGGGAGCAAACAGG
Molecule: ribosomal RNA, 253 nt
Filed under: uncultured bacterium
Lineage: Bacteria
Description: partial 16S ribosomal RNA
Rfam family: Bacterial small subunit ribosomal RNA
Source: RNAcentral